This 1410-nucleotide long non-coding RNA is filed under the name Physcomitrium patens. Its description in RNAcentral is "long non-coding RNA (PPAT_LNC006283)". Lineage: Eukaryota; Viridiplantae; Streptophyta; Bryopsida; Funariales; Funariaceae. The record is from RNAcentral.
GAUGCUGAACGUUGCAAAGGUUGUGAGCUUCAGCCACCGGCAAGCAUCUCAACGAUGCGAUCCAAUGCUAGUCAAAUCAGGUUUAAUUCUUAACAUGAUGCGGAGCUUCAACCUCCGUCGGCACUUUUAUGUAGAGUCCCAAUCACAUCUUGAGCAUGAAUCGUUUAAGCGAUGUUAUCGUCAACCAUUUCUAGAUCAAGGCUAAAUUUCAUAUAUAUAUAUAUAUAUAUAUAUUCAUACAUAUAUUUGUGUGUGUGGGUGUGCCUCAUAGAUCUAAACUUUUUGUAUAGAAGGUCCACCAUGACUGACGCGACUGAGGUGAUACCUGAGUUAUUAUACGCUUGAAAAAUACCGAGUGCUGCCCGAUGGAUUGAUCCACAAAAGGUUGUGAGAAACGCUGUCGAGAUGCUCGAUAAGUUCUUCCCUCAGCGGAUGUGGUAAGUCUUUCUGCAUCAACCAGUGAGAGAAUUGGGUGAGUGAGAGGGUUGAUGCUGCUUGAAGGAAUUGGGUACCACGCAAUAAUACAAGUUAGAGUAUGUUUCGGGGGGCUUGGACCACAAAUGACCAAUUUCUGGAACUUUGUAGAUCUGGUGGAGCAGACGACGACAGAGUCGGUGAUUGUGAUAUUCGGUUCGAGGAGUAGUGGCAGUGGACACUGCAACCAAAGAUUUGAUGGUCGGGGGAUUUUUAGUAUGCUCUCAUCUGGACCGAGACUCCGCGUCGGACGGAUCACAUGCGCGCCAGCACAACUUCUGCUGUCGCUGCUGCUCGCAACCCUUUUUUUUCUCCCUGCAUCGACUGAAAAGUUGGUGGUGUUACAGCUCUGAUUCUUUUCCCCCAGGGUUUGCAUCCUUUCUCGACAGCUGCGUACAUGUGCGAACAGACAGUCGGUACUGGUUUUGUGUAAACUUACUGACUUUACCAUGGUGUAGAUUCGAGGCUCUAGCGAGAACAAUUUUCAUGUUUGUAUGGCUCACCUGGACUUAAACCUGUUUCUCAGGUUUUAAUAUAAUGUGAUGCAAUGCUUGACGUCUUGUUUUUGAAGCGAAAUACGAGCUACUGAUUCCUUGCGAACGUGGAGACGAAUAAUGGAAGGCAAUGAAAGAAAACGAAGCUACACGUUACAGUUGGGUUUGGUGUGGAGCUGGUUUGCAGGGGAAGCCUCUGAUCUGUGUAGGACCUAGAUGUACAGCUUUUGAUGGAAUGUGCAGGGCCCACGUCAGAAGGUCUUCGCACAGCUCAUUUCUCGUUAUUGCUUCAGAGAAACGACUGGCAUGCCACCUUCAUUACGUCGUCGGCAAGAAAACAGUAAAAAUAAAAAUAAAUAAAUAAACGCGUUAUGGAUCGUUUACUUCUUUUAGGAACCUAAUUCCGAUUCGGACCAGAAUUUGUUUUGAACAACCAACUCAU